RNAcentral lists this ribosomal RNA (505 nucleotides) under uncultured Glomus. RNAcentral describes it as "SSU rRNA". It matches the Rfam family "Eukaryotic small subunit ribosomal RNA", at positions 569 to 1078 of the family's 1831-position model. The record is from RNAcentral. Lineage: Eukaryota; Fungi; Glomeromycota; Glomeromycetes; Glomerales; Glomeraceae.
AGCAGCCGCGGUAAUUCCAGCUCCAAUAGCGUAUAUUAAAGUUGUUGCAGUUAAAAAGCUCGUAGUUGAAUUUCGGGAUUAGUACGUCGGUCGUGCCUUAGGUACGUACUGGUGUUACUGGUUCCUACCUUCUGACGAACCAUCAUGUCAUUAAUUUGGUGUGGUGGGGAAUCAGGACUGUUACUUUGAAAAAAUUAGAGUGUUUAAAGCAGGCUCGCGCUUGAAUACAUUAGCAUGGAAUAAUUAAAUAGGACGUUGAUCCUAUUUUGUUGGUUUCUAGGAUUGACGUAAUGAUUAAUAGGGAUAGUUGGGGGCAUUAGUAUUCAAUUGUCAGAGGUGAAAUUCUUGGAUUUAUUGAAGACUAACUACUGCGAAAGCAUUUGCCAAGGAUGUUUUCAUUAAUCAAGAACGAAAGUUAGGGGAUCGAAGACGAUCAGAUACCGUCGUAGUCUUAACCAUAAACUAUGCCGACUAGGGAUCGGAUGAUGUUAUUUUUAAUGACUCA